Molecule: transfer RNA, 72 nt
Filed under: Camelus bactrianus (Bactrian camel)
Lineage: Eukaryota; Metazoa; Chordata; Mammalia; Artiodactyla; Camelidae
Also listed under: 1 other name
Rfam family: tRNA
About the family: Transfer RNA (tRNA) molecules are approximately 80 nucleotides in length. Their secondary structure includes four short double-helical elements and three loops (D, anti-codon, and T loops).
Source: Rfam by way of RNAcentral
GGAGGGAUAGCUCAGUGGUAUAGCACGUGCUUAGCAUGCUCGAGGUCCUGGGUUCAAUCCCCAUUGCCUCCA